UACGUAGGUGGCAAGCGUUGUCCGGAUUUAUUGGGUUUAAAGGGUGCGUAGGCGGCCUUAUAAGUCAGUGCUGAAAUAUCCCGGCUUAACCGGGAGGGUGGCAUUGAUACUGUAGGGCUUGAGUAAAGUUGUGGUUGGCGGAAUUGACGGUGUAGCGGUGAAAUGCUUAGAUAUCGUCAAGAACACCGAUAGUGAAGACAGCUAACUAAGCUUUAACUGACGCUGAGGCACGAAAGUGUGGGGAUCAAACAGG
This 253-nucleotide ribosomal RNA is filed under the name uncultured bacterium. RNAcentral describes it as "partial 16S ribosomal RNA". It matches the Rfam family "Bacterial small subunit ribosomal RNA", at positions 524 to 776 of the family's 1533-position model. The record is from RNAcentral.